UACGGAGCGUCCAAACGUUAUUCGGAAUCACUGGGCUUACAGAGUUCGUAGGCGGUCUGGAAAGUUGGGUGUGAAAUCCCUCGGCUCAACCGAGGAACUGCGCUUGAAACUACCAGACUCGAGGGAGAUAGAGGAAAGCGGAACUGAUGGUGGAGCGGUGAAAUGCGUUGAUAUCAUCAGGAACACCGGUGGCGAAGGCGGCUUUCUGGGUCUUACCUGACGCUGAGGAACGAAAGCCAGGGGAGCGAACGGGAUUAGAAACCCGCGUAGUCC
RNAcentral lists this ribosomal RNA (273 nucleotides) under uncultured bacterium. RNAcentral's name for it is "partial 16S ribosomal RNA". It matches the Rfam family "Bacterial small subunit ribosomal RNA", at positions 524 to 796 of the family's 1533-position model. The record is from RNAcentral.